GUGUGUGUGUGUGUGUGUGUGUGUGUGUGUGUGUGUUAUUCCUUACCCAUACGUCCGUUACUCGUAGAUAUUCGUCGCGAUUUCCAUGUAUAUGCUUACAUUCGCUCGUGUCAUUGGCAUAUAUAUGAUGUACACGCGUGAAAGAGGGCAUUCAAGUCAAGCAAGAAAAACGACGAGAAAACGAUCAAAAUAUUAACUUUUUAUAUAAAAAAAUAAAUUGCUUUCCAUGCUUUCGACAUAUCUGAAUGAUCUUUGAUGAACAGGUAAUACCGAAUCUAUAUAUUCCGAAUCUUUAUAUUUUUAAUCUCUUCGAAAACGAAGAGAUUAUUUGGUUUUAGAAAAACAUAAUUUUAUCAUAUAUGAUCAGUUGUGAAAAAAUUGACUUCUUUAAAGUUAAUUAAAAUUUGGAAAGGGCUCAUUGGGGAAAAAGUAUCGAGAUUAGAAUUUAGCUAAUCAUAGAAGAAAAAAUAAAAAGGUGAUUUUUUUGAACAUAAAGAUAAGUUAUUUUUAAAAUUUAUUAAGACAACAGUAAAGAAUUUAUAAGUACUGUUUUUAAUCCUUGCUUUUAAAUAUGUUUGGUUCAACAUUCUAUAGAUUUGUUUAUGCUUUCAGAAAAAAAAUAUUUUUGAUUGAUCUCAGCUCACGCAUGCAACGUUCCUUUCACAUUUUGGUCGUCCACAUGUUGCUGUCCAUGAUGAUGAAACACCUGAGAUUUGAGCAGCCUCCACAUAUAGUUCUGGCUUUACUUCCUUGGAUUAUUAUUUAUUUGAUGCUUUGAGAGGAUUGAUUAAUUACUGACCAAAAUAUGAAAGAAGCAGUACAUAUGUGACUGAGAGACCAAAAA
This is a long non-coding RNA of Pogonomyrmex barbatus (red harvester ant), 844 nucleotides long. RefSeq lists it as uncharacterized. Lineage: Eukaryota; Metazoa; Arthropoda; Insecta; Hymenoptera; Formicidae. The record is from RefSeq and is a predicted model, not a curated record.